Molecule: long non-coding RNA, 471 nt
Filed under: Pan troglodytes (chimpanzee)
Lineage: Eukaryota; Metazoa; Chordata; Mammalia; Primates; Hominidae
Description: lncRNA (ENSPTRG00000053136.1)
Source: RNAcentral
UUUUAUAUAAUCUUUGCUCCUUUGUAAAUAAUAGAUAGUCCUCUUUUCCUCUCUCCCUUUCUCCUUCACCUCUUCCUGUUUCCUUUCUCUGGCUGGUGCAGAUAAGAAGUUCAAGUAUAUUGGGUCACCAAGGAAGCCAGAGUGGAGGCUGCAGGGAAUAUGGAUUUAAAUGAAUUUUGGCUGUACCAUCAAGCAGUCUGAUCACUGAGGAAAUAUCAAAAGCUUCACCUGAGUGACUCAUCACCCAAAUUCAACAGAGAGUGAAGAGAAAUGUGCUUUCUGCUGAUAUUGUGCCCAAGGAGGAGUUAUAGACUUGCCAAAGAAGCUGCUUAUUUCACAGAAGGAUGGUGCUGGCUGAAAGAUACUUCCUUGAAACUGAGAGAUUGCUUCCUUAGACAGGUCUCCUUGAAGAGAUAUCAAACCUCACCAUGUCACUACUACCUUGGAGUUUGGAGAACACUGAAUGGAUGA